This 507-nucleotide ribosomal RNA is filed under the name uncultured bacterium. Its description in RNAcentral is "partial 16S ribosomal RNA". It matches the Rfam family "Bacterial small subunit ribosomal RNA", at positions 30 to 523 of the family's 1533-position model. The record is from RNAcentral.
ACUGAACGCUGGCGGCAUGCCUUACACAUGCAAGUCGAACGGCAGCGGGGGAGAAGCUUGCUUUUCCUGCCGGCGAGUGGCGAACGGGUGAGUGAUACAUCGGAACGUGCCCUGUAGUGGGGGAUAACUAGUCGAAAGAUUAGCUAAUACCGCAUCCGACCUGAGGGUGAAAGUGGGGGACCGCAAGGCCUCAUGCUAUAGGAGGGCCGAUGUCUGAUUAGCUAGUUGGUGGGGUAAAGGCCUACCAAGGCGACGAUCAGUAGAUGGUCUGAGAGGACGAUCAGCCACACUGGGACUGAGACACGGCCCAGACUCCUACGGGAGGCAGCAGGGGGGAAUUUUGGACAAUGGGCGAAAGCCUGAUCCAGCGAUGCCGCGUGUGUGAAGAAGGCCUUCGGGUUGUAAAGCACUUUUGUCCGGAAAGAAAUGGCUCUGGUUAAUACCUGGGGUCGAUGACGGUACCGGAAGAAUAAGGACCGGCUAACUACGUGCCAGCCGCCGCGGUAA